Molecule: ribosomal RNA, 496 nt
Filed under: uncultured bacterium
Lineage: Bacteria
Description: partial 16S ribosomal RNA
Rfam family: Bacterial small subunit ribosomal RNA
Source: RNAcentral
GAUGAACGCUGGCGGCGUGCCUAAUACAUGCAAGUCGAGCGAACGGACGAGAAGCUUGCUUUUCUGAUGUUAGCGGCGGACGGGUGAGUAACACGUGGAUAACCUACCUAUAAGACUGGGAUAACUUCGGGAAACCGGAGCUAAUACCGGAUAAUAUUUUGAACCGCAUGGUUCAAAAGUGAAAGACGGUCUUGCUGUCACUUAUAGAUGGAUCCGCGCUGCAUUAGCUAGUUGGUAAGGUAACGGCUUACCAAGGCAACGAUGCAUAGCCGACCUGAGAGGGUGAUCGGCCACACUGGAACUGAGGCACGGUCCAGACUCCUACGGGAGGCAGCAGUAGGGAAUCUUCCGCAAUGGGCGAAAGCCUGACGGAGCAACGCCGCGUGAGUGAUGAAGGUCUUCGGAUCGUAAAACUCUGUUAUUAGGGAAGAACAUAUGUGUAAGUAACUGUGCACAUCUUGACGGUACCUAAUCAGAAAGCCACGGCUAACUACGU